CAUGCUUUGUUAUUAUACGCUUGCUAUUUUUUUGGUUCAUCGAUUCUAUAGAAAUCAAAUUUCCAUUCACAAGGGAUUAAUUUCACUAAUGCUUAAUGGCAAUCCCAUUGAAAUGCUUGUAUGAUGUCAACCUCGUUUUUUUAUGAUUGUUUCUCUGACUGGAUUUAUUAAGCAGGAAAGAAUUUUGGAAGAAAUUAAAUUGUCCAUUCAGACAUUUCCUGCAGUUUCCAUAUAUCACAAGUUCUUUCGUCAACCAAAACCAUCUGAAGAAGCCGUCAUUUACUUUGACAUUUAUUAACUGGAACCAUGAAGCAAUAAGUGGACUUCAUUUUUCUUACGAGAAGGAAUAUGACAGUUCUCUCAUUGUAAUGUGAAAUACCGGAACUCUGACAAGGUCUUCAUUGUGAAAGUUCCUAAUCUGAGUAAAUAUAAUCUAGACAAGAAAUGGACUUUUUGUGUAGCUUUAGCUGAAUAAACUACAAUUUCAUGUGCUUUUAGGUUCACAUUGCCAUGCUGCUACAUAUGCCGAUUCCUAUCAAAAGUGCAGCUGCCGCACUCUAAAAAACAAUAUCCUCACAACUGAUCAAGGUCCUACAUUACCGAUUUCAUUUCCUGCAAAUCUUCCAAAUUGAUCAUGUGAUUAGCAAAACAACGAUUUGAAUGACGUAUCAACUGUAAAUGAAAGAAAUCUUCUCGCAGAGCUCACAAACCGAGACGUAUAUGAAACUCAAUUUUUGAUGACGUAUCAACUGUAAAUGAAAGAAAUCUUCUCGCAGAGCUCACAAACCGAGACGUAUAUGAAACUCAAUUUUUGAUGUUAAGACGCUUAUGUCCGAUAUAACAACCAGCUCAUCUCUUUCAGAUAAUUGCUGCAAAAGUACAAAUCAGCUUUCUAAAUCAUAUGUACUUAAUGCUGCAGGCGAAACAAUUGAACUUGAAGAUCUUGUCCUCGGUCUGAACCCAUUAACCUUGUUGCUUCAGCAGAUUGAAAAAAAAUGGUCGGAUGAGCAAGAAAGAAAGCUCAUCCGUCUAACAUUUUUGGUACUUUUUAUCCUGGAGGUUUUAUCUUUUUUAAAGGAGAAUAGUGCAUCGGACAAUUCGUCUCUGGAUUUGGUCAUCUAAAUUUGAACUAGCUGAAACUGAAGAUUUUGAGACAAAUUGUUCAGGAAAUAUUAAUUCCCAGGAAAUUUUUCAGCAAUUAAUAUCUUUUUAUAACAGAUAUUUUAUCGAGAAAGAGAAAUGCAUACCUAGUAAUCUCUUUAUAGACCAUCAUAAUAUUGACUUAUAUUUCAUUCUAAAACUAACGAUUUUAGAAACUAAAAACUCUCUUACGUUAUUUCCGAGACAAGAAAACUAUGUAAAUGAAUUCUCUGCUCAUCAACUAUUGUGAAUCUUAUUGGUUCAGAAAAUGAUCUACUGCUAAUGUUGCCGAAAGAAAUGAUGCUACAUAUGCCGAUUCCUAUCAAAAUUGCAAUAGCCACAUUCUAAAAAAACAAUAUCCCCACAACUCAUCGAAGUCCUAUAUUCACCGAUUUCAUUGCCGGUGAAUGCGGCCGUUAGUGAAAUAAACAGAAUUUCUUUUAUAGUAUGACGAAGAAUAGUUGUAUAGAUUUUGUAUUUUUUAGAUAUAUUUUGGAGUGCUAUG
Molecule: long non-coding RNA, 1645 nt
Organism: Argiope bruennichi
Lineage: Eukaryota; Metazoa; Arthropoda; Arachnida; Araneae; Araneidae
Exons: 4
Source: RefSeq, a predicted model, not a curated record